GAUGAACGCUAGCUACAGGCUUAACACAUGCAAGUCGAGGGGAAACGAUGAGAGAGCUUGCUCUCUUAGGCGUCGACCGGCGCACGGGUGAGUAACGCGUAUCCAACCUACCCAUUACAGGGGGAUAACCUUGCGCAAGUAAGACUACUACCCCAUGGCAUUUUCUGGUGGCUUCAUUAUAGGAUUAACGAUUUAUUUGUCAUGGAUGGGGAUGCGUCUGAUUAGCUUGUUGGCGGGGUAACGGCCCACCAAGGCAACGAUCAGUAGGGGUUCUGAGAGGAAGGUACCCUACAUUGGAACUGAGACACGGUCCAAACUCCUACGGGAGGCAGCAGUGAGGAAUAUUGGUCAAGGGGCGAGAGCUUGAACCAGCCAAGUAGCGUGCAGGAUGACGGCCCUAGGGGUUGUAAACUGCUUUUAUAGGGGAAUAAAGUGAGCUACGGGGAGUUUAUUGCAUGUACCCAAUGAAUAAGAACCGGCUAAUUCCGUG
RNAcentral lists this ribosomal RNA (490 nucleotides) under uncultured bacterium. RNAcentral's name for it is "partial 16S ribosomal RNA". It matches the Rfam family "Bacterial small subunit ribosomal RNA", at positions 28 to 507 of the family's 1533-position model. The record is from RNAcentral.